This 426-nucleotide ribosomal RNA is filed under the name Proshermacha sp. MYG467. RNAcentral's name for it is "partial 16S ribosomal RNA". It matches the Rfam family "Bacterial large subunit ribosomal RNA", at positions 1834 to 2597 of the family's 2925-position model. The record is from RNAcentral. Lineage: Eukaryota; Metazoa; Arthropoda; Arachnida; Araneae; Anamidae.
UAAAAGAACUAAUUUUUAGUAUCCCCUGCUCAAUGAGAUUUAAAUAGCCGCAAGUUUUGUGCUAAGGUAGCAUAAUCAUUUGCCUAAUAAUUGUAGGAUAGAAUGAACGGGGUAACAGGUAAUUUUCUAUGUCAAGAGAAUUAUUUUAACUUAACAGGUGAGUAAAAAGGCUCACAAAACUAGGGGGACGAUAAGACCCUGUCAAACUUCACCCCUUAAGGUUUAGCUGGGGCGGCAAAAAAUUAAACCUUUACUUAGUAUAUAUAGCUAAACCAAGAUCCAUGAUAAACAAGUUACUGCAGGGAUAACAGCACAAUCACUCUUUAAAGAUCGUAUAAAAAGAAUGGCUUGUGACCUCGAUGUUGAAUUAAAAAUCUUUUUGAGGUAGCCCUCUAAAAAGAAAGUCCGUUCGACUUUUAAACAUUU